This is a long non-coding RNA of Podarcis raffonei (Aeolian wall lizard), 2306 nucleotides long. RefSeq lists it as uncharacterized. Lineage: Eukaryota; Metazoa; Chordata; Lepidosauria; Squamata; Lacertidae. The transcript has 2 exons. The record is from RefSeq and is a predicted model, not a curated record.
UUCUCGGAAAUCCAGUAGCCAAAGAAGCAUUCCAGGGCUUUCUCGGUGUGCGGUUGCCUGGAAUCACAGAAUAUACAGUGGUACCUCGGGUUACAGAUGCUUCAGGUUACAGACGCUUCAGGUUACAGACUCUGCUAACCCAGAAAUAGUACCUCGGGUUAAGAACUUUGCUUCAGGGUGAGAACAGAAAACGUGCGGCGGCAGUGGGAGGCCCCAUUAGCUAAAGUGGUAAAAGGUAAAGGUAAAGGGACCCCUGACCAUUAGGUCCAGUCGUGACCGACUCUGGGGUUGUGGCGUUCAUCUCGCUUUACUGGCCGAGGGAGCAGGCAUACAGCUUCCAGGUCAUGUGGCCAGCAUGACUAAGCCUCUUCUGGCGAACCAGAGCAGCGCACGGAAACGCCGUUUACCUUCCCACCAGAGUGGUACCUAUUUAUCUACUUGCACUUUGACGUGCUUUCGAACUGCUAGGUUGGCAGGAGCAGGGACUGAGCAACGGGAGCUGAGGCACCCCCCAAAAAACUGUGUGCAGGUCGAUGGUCCCUUCAGCUCCCCCCACGCUACACCACUGGUUCUGUGGACCAAAACCUGCAGUAUUGAAACUCAGAGUUUCCAUAUUGUGGCCGCCUUCUUUAGCUUCCCAGGCCAAGCCUCUAGCAGCAACAUUGCCUGGUAUCGGCCAAGGUCGGUGUGUUUAGUUCAGGUAGGAGUGGCCAGGUGCAAAACAGAACAGGGCUCCUGUCCCUUAUGAUAGCUGUGUAGAAGAGUGAAUCAUCUGCCAAAUUACACCAGCUGAAAUUCCCUCUUCCACACACCUGUUGAAGGUACAGGUGCCCUGACCUCUUACAGCUGGACAUCCUGCCAGUAGGGUGCAAGCUAAAUAAGAGAGCUUUCCUUUCAUAAGGAUAAUUCUCAGAUCCUCUCUGUAAAAGUCCCCACAGUUCCACCAGAUCAAACAGUGAUUUCUCCCCCUCUUACCCCUGUAAACCUCGUGGGAACAGCGUUGAGAGCACUAGAAGCACAUAUUUUCUUUAUCCUCCACUCUAUUGCAGCAUAAACACUAUCCUUUUUGCCAGCUGCUGCUAAUAGAUGUUUCUAUCUAGAGCUGAAAAUGAGGACUUCUGGUGAUUAUAAGCACUUGCGUGUCAGGCUAAAAAAAAAAAAAAGCAAAGACAUCUGUUGGGGAAAUUAGUAGGUAUUUGAUAAUACCACUGUCCAAUACCACUGUAUUAAAACCAUUUCUAGCAAAACACACUAGCACUUCUCUUCCUUGCAAGUAUUUGUGCUACGAUUCCUCAGUGGUGCAUUUGUUGGUCUGCAUGUGUGUUUUUAAAUAUCUGCUCCCAUAUGCAGCUUUCCAGGGAGGAGAAAUGAUAAAAUAACUCGAAUGUCAUUCUGUUUUUCCUCUCUCAACUUUUUUUAAAAAUGCACUUUUAGUCUGAGGUAGCACACAACCCCCAUCACAGUUGGACAUUGUAUGUGGUACAUAAAGCUCCCUUGCCAAGCUAAACAUACCCACAAAAUGGGUCAUCUGCCUAACCUGCUAAGAGAGAGAAAGUGAAAAUCCCUUUUAAUCUUCUCUGUAGGCAGAAAUGUAAGGAAGUAGACCUUAGCAAGUUUCACAACGUGAACUGAUGAUAUGCUGCAGCACUGUUCAGAAAGACACUUCUUUUUUAAAAAAGAGAAAGCUCUUUUAAAUAUAUCCCAAAAGCAUGGCUGGAUUCUUGGAUAUCAGCCAUGCGACCGACCUCCCCUGCCCCAGUUCCCUCCAGUCAGCUGAACAUCCUGCAAGGUGUAUGGAACUUGCCAGCUGAUUGAAAACAUCUUAGGAUCUCUAAGCCAUUCAUGCUGCGUUUCAGUGGCUUCUGAAAUGAUCCUACCUCCUCUUUGGCUCCUGGUCUCAAUGUUUCAGUGGCAAAACAAAAGCAUUUUGAUGUUAGCUUUUUUGGUGUCUUACAUUUGGAAGUUGUGGGGAAAUGUAUGUCUGAUGAGUUGAUGGGGGAGGUUUGAAUUUUAGAUCUGGGCUUUUAUUAGAGGUUUGUAAAUGGUGUGCAUGUGUGCAUGUCUGUUUGGGGCUUUAAAGAACUCCAAAAAUCCCCCCCCCCUUUUAAAUUGAGUACUUCCUCUCUGUAUUCAUCAUGGGUUAAGUUCAUGGUGAGACAUUCAAUUUGCAGGUGCAGUCUUCUGACGCAUCUUCUUCUUAGCAUGCUGUCAAGAAGUGAAUUGUUAUCCCAGUCGCCUAGAAUAAUGAAAUAAAAUUCACAGAGAGAAAAUUAAUUUUGUUUUAAUUAAACUCAUUAAUUUUUUGA